RNAcentral lists this ribosomal RNA (615 nucleotides) under uncultured archaeon. Its description in RNAcentral is "partial 16S ribosomal RNA". The record is from RNAcentral.
CGGCGUGACUCCAAUUGAACCGCAGGCUUCACCCUUGUGGUGCUCCCCCGCCAAUUCCUUUAAGUUUCAUACCUGCGUACGUACUUCCCAGGCGGCAGACUUAACGGCUUCCCUGCGGCACCGCAUUGGCCACAAGCCAAUGCAUCACCGAGUCUGCAUCGUUUACAGCUGGGACUACCCGGGUAUCUAAUCCGGUUUGCUCCCCCAGCAUUCAUCCCUCACCGUCGAACGUGUUCUGGUACACCGCCUUCGCCACAGGUGGUCUUCAAUAGAUCAAAGGAUUUUACCCCUUCCUAUCGAGUACCGUGUACCUCUCCCACUCCCUAGCUGCACAGUAUUUUCGGCGGCCUAUACGUUAAGCGCAUAGAUUUAACCGAAAACUUAUGCAACCGGCUACGGAUGCUUUAGGCCCAAUAAACCUCCUGACCACUCGAGGUGCUGGUUUUACCGCGGCGGCUGACACCAGAACUUGCCCACCCCUUAUUCACCAGUGAUUCUACAACUGACAAAAGACUCCUUUAGCAGGAGACACUCGGAUUAACCUUGUCGUGCUUUCGCACAUUGCAAAGGUUUCUCGCCUGCUGCGCNCCAUAGGGCCUGGGUCCGUGUCUCAGU